AUUGGCUGUCGUCAGCUCGUGUCGUGAGAUGUUGGGUUAAGUCCCGCAACGAGCGCAACCCUCAGCCAUUAGUUGCCAUCAGGUUUGGCUGGGCACUCUAAUGGGACCGCCGGUAGGUAAGCCGGAGGAAGGUGGGGAUAGACGUCAAGUCCUCAUGGCCCUAUACAAGGUGGGCAUACACACGUGCAUACAAUGGCGACAUACAGAGGGCUGCAACCCCGCGAGGUGUGAGCUAAUCCCUAAAAGUCGUCUCAGUUCGGAUUGCACUCUGCAACUCGAGUGCAUGAAGUUGGAAUCGCUAGUAAUCGCGGAUCAGCAUGCCGCG
Molecule: ribosomal RNA, 325 nt
Filed under: uncultured vent bacterium
Lineage: Bacteria
Description: bacterial SSU rRNA
Rfam family: Bacterial small subunit ribosomal RNA
Source: RNAcentral